RNAcentral lists this long non-coding RNA (489 nucleotides) under Vulpes vulpes (red fox). RNAcentral describes it as "lncRNA (ENSVVUG00000007340.1)". Lineage: Eukaryota; Metazoa; Chordata; Mammalia; Carnivora; Canidae. The record is from RNAcentral.
GCUGUUUUCUGCAUUGGUGUUCACGUUAAUUGACAUAAUUUGGAGACAAGUGACCAAGCUUUGUGAAAAACAAAUCUUGCACUGGCACAGAGCCUUGCAAGUUAAUCAGACAGAGAGAUAAUGAUGUAAAUGAUCACUAUUGUACUGUAUGAUAAUAAGACAUCAAUGACGCACAGUUUAUGUGACUAGGCUUAAUUCUCUCAACAGGUUGAGAUGAUGAGAACAAUUUGUAAAGAUUGUAGCUCUAUAGGUAACUCGAACCAAAUCUGCACUGCCACUCUUGAUCCUUCAGGCCCAAAUCUUAUUCUUCGAGUCAUUUGCAAGAGGGAAGAGACUGGAACCUGCCACAAAAGACCUAAGGCCCCUAAAGUCCCUCCCCAAGAAAUUCUUAAUCCAGCUAUAAUUAAUUAAUACAUUAUUACUCUUUAUGAAUUAAGCACCCAUUGAUUUAAGUGAUAAAUAAACAUUAAGUUAUGUACUCUCCUUUCA